UACGAAGGGGGCUAGCGUUGUUCGGAAUUACUGGGCGUAAAGCGCACGUAGGCGGAUACUUAAGUCAGGGGUGAAAUCCCGGGGCUCAACCCCGGAACUGCCUUUGAUACUGGGUAUCUCGAGUCCGGAAGAGGUGAGUGGAAUUCCGAGUGUAGAGGUGAAAUUCGUAGAUAUUCGGAGGAACACCAGUGGCGAAGGCGGCUCACUGGUCCGGGUACUGACGCUGAGGGUGCGAAAAGCGUGGGGAGCAAACAGG
RNAcentral lists this ribosomal RNA (256 nucleotides) under uncultured bacterium. Its description in RNAcentral is "partial 16S ribosomal RNA". It matches the Rfam family "Bacterial small subunit ribosomal RNA", at positions 524 to 776 of the family's 1533-position model. The record is from RNAcentral.